Stegodyphus mimosarum is the source of this 184-nucleotide non-coding RNA. The record is from Rfam. Lineage: Eukaryota; Metazoa; Arthropoda; Arachnida; Araneae; Eresidae.
AAACAUUCUCUAGACCCAAUAAAAAGAUUUUCUGUUCUUAUCAGCUUAAUAUCUGAUACGACAUCCAUCGGGUGUCAAGAUAUUAAACUAAUUUUUGCAGAUAGGCUUGUGGUUAGGAAUUUAUUCCGCCCUCGCCACGGGUUGGCCUGCUAUUGCACUAUUUGCAGGAUACGGCCCACUCUUU